GACAGAGGUGCCAAGCGUUAGGCGGAAUCACUGGGCUUAAAGCGUGUGUAGGCGGAUUUGUAAGUACCUUGUGAAAUCCCACGGCUCAACCGUGGAACUGCUCGGUAUACUGCUUAUCUUGAGCCACUUAGGGGCUACCGGAACAAAUGGUGGAGCGGUGAAAUGCGUAGAUAUCAUUUGGAACGCCAAUGGUGAAAACAGGUAGCUGGGAGUGUGCUGACGCUGAGACAUGAAAGCCAGGGGAGCGAACGGG
Molecule: ribosomal RNA, 253 nt
Filed under: uncultured bacterium
Lineage: Bacteria
Description: partial 16S ribosomal RNA
Rfam family: Bacterial small subunit ribosomal RNA
Source: RNAcentral